This 492-nucleotide ribosomal RNA is filed under the name uncultured bacterium. RNAcentral's name for it is "partial 16S ribosomal RNA". It matches the Rfam family "Bacterial small subunit ribosomal RNA", at positions 29 to 507 of the family's 1533-position model. The record is from RNAcentral.
AGUGAACGCUGGCGGUAGGCCUAACACAUGCAAGUCGAACGGCAGCACAGUAAGAGCUUGCUCUUACGGGUGGCGAGUGGCGGACGGGUGAGGAAUACAUCGGAAUCUACUUUUUCGUGGGGGAUAACGUAGGGAAACUUACGCUAAUACCGCAUACGACCUACGGGUGAAAGCAGGGGAUCUUCGGACCUUGCGCGAUUGAAUGAGCCGAUGUCGGAUUAGCUAGUUGGCGGGGUAAAGGCCCACCAAGGCGACGAUCCGUAGCUGGUCUGAGAGGAUGAUCCGCCACACUGGAACUGAGACACGGUCCAGACUCCUACGGGAGGCAGCAGUGGGGAAUAUUGGACAAUGGGCGCAAGCCUGAUCCAGCCAUACCGCGUGGGUGAAGGAGGCCUUCGGGUUGUAAAGCCCUUUUGUUGGGAAAGAAAAGCAGCAGGUUAAUACCCCGCUGUUCUGACGGUACCCAAAGAAUAAGCACCGGCUAACUUCGUG